CCUACGGGAGGCAGCAGUGAGGAAUAUUGGUCAAUGGGCGGAAGCCUGAACCAGCCAAGUAGCGUGCAGGAUGACGGCCCUACGGGUUGUAAACUGCUUUUAUACGGGAAUAACGCGCCUUACGUGUAGGGCUUUGCAUGUACCGUAUGAAUAAGGAUCGGCUAACUCCGUGCCAGCAGCCGCGGUAAUACGGAGGAUUCAAGCGUUAUCCGGAUUUAUUGGGUUUAAAGGGUGGGUAGGCGGUCGGGUAAGUUAGUGGUGAAAUCAUGAGGCUCAACUUCGGGAUUGCCUUUGAUACUGUUCGGCUAGAGAGUAGUAGCGGUAGGCGGAAUGUGUGGUGUAGCGGUGAAAUGCUUAGAGAUCAUACAGAACACCGAUUGCGAAGGCAGCUUACCAGGCUACUUCUGACGUUGAGGCACGAAAGCGUGGGGAUCAAACAGGAUUAGAUACCCCGGUAGUC
This 460-nucleotide ribosomal RNA is filed under the name uncultured bacterium. RNAcentral describes it as "partial 16S ribosomal RNA". It matches the Rfam family "Bacterial small subunit ribosomal RNA", at positions 338 to 795 of the family's 1533-position model. The record is from RNAcentral.